AUUCAACAUUCUUAUAUCAUAUCUCUGUUCCAACAAAGCAAUGUUGAUUAUAUCAAUCUGCCAAAGCGACGCCAAAGUUCGUGUAGAACAAUGAGACAGUCUAUAUUUAUGAGUGAUCAUAAUAUAUGAAUUUUAGUCAAAGCUAAAACGAAGCCAGAGUUCAUGUAGAACACUAAAGACGGUCUAUUAUUUAUAUCGUUCAUUAUGCCUGGAAUUUGGUCAAAGACAAAGCGAAGCCAAAGCUCAGGCAGAACAUUAAGUUGGUUAUUAUUUACGUAUGUUCAUAAUACAUGAAUUUUGGUCAAAGCCAAAGCGAAGCCAAAGUUCAUGUAGAAAAAUAAGUCAGUCUAUUAUGUAUAUUCAUAAAGCAUAAAUUUUGGUCAAAGCAAAAGCGAAGCCAAAUUUAUUUAGAACAUCAAGACAAUCUGUUAUUUAUGUACGUUCAUAAUGUCUGAAUUUUGGUCAAAGCCAAAGCGAAGCCAAAAUUCAGGUAGAACCUUAAAUUAGUCUGUUAUUUUGGUGUUAUAGUAGACUAUAUCUUCAAUAUAAUAAUUUGUGUCUGCCUUACUUGAUUACCUCAUAAUGUAAAUCACUCCAAGUUUCUUCUUAGGAUUGUAUCUCAUCUAUUUUAUCCACUCUAAU
This 642-nucleotide long non-coding RNA is filed under the name Helianthus annuus (common sunflower). Its description in RNAcentral is "sRNA HanXRQr2_Chr10g0427491". The record is from RNAcentral. Lineage: Eukaryota; Viridiplantae; Streptophyta; Magnoliopsida; Asterales; Asteraceae.